GCCUGAUCCAGCAAUGCCGCGUGUGUGAAGAAGGCCUUCGGGUUGUAAAGCACUUUUGUCCGGAAAGAAAUCCUUGGCUCUAAUACAGUCGGGGGAUGACGGUACCGGAAGAAUAAGCACCGGCUAACUACGUGCCAGCAGCCGCGGUAAUACGUAGGGUGCAAGCGUUAAUCGGAAUUACUGGGCGUAAAGCGUGCGCAGGCGGUUUGCUAAGACCGAUGUGAAAUCCCCGGGCUCAACCUGGGAACUGCAUUGGUGACUGGCAGGCUAGAGUAUGGCAGAGGGGGGUAGAAUUCCACGUGUAGCAGUGAAAUGCGUAGAGAUGUGGAGGAAUACCGAUGGCGAAGGCAGCCCCCUGGGCCAAUACUGACGCUCAUGCACGAAAGCGUGGGGAGCAAACAGGAUUAGAUACCCUGGUAGUCCACGCCCUAAACGAUGUCAACUAGUUGUUGGGGAUUCAUUUCCUUAGUAACGUAGCUUACGCGUGAAGUUGACCGCCUGGGGAGUACGGUCGCAAGAUUAAAACUCAAAGGAAUUGACGGGGACCCGCACAAGCGGUGGAUGAUGUGGAUUAAUUCGAUGCAACGCGAAAAACCUUACCUACCCUUGACAUGGUCGGAAUCCUGCUGAGAGGUGGGAGUGCUCGAAAGAGAACCGGCGCACAGGUGCUGCAUGGCUGUCGUCAGCUCGUGUCGUGAGA
RNAcentral lists this ribosomal RNA (700 nucleotides) under Burkholderia cenocepacia. RNAcentral's name for it is "bacterial SSU rRNA". It matches the Rfam family "Bacterial small subunit ribosomal RNA", at positions 381 to 1072 of the family's 1533-position model. Lineage: Bacteria; Pseudomonadati; Pseudomonadota; Betaproteobacteria; Burkholderiales; Burkholderiaceae. The record is from RNAcentral.